CUAAUUUACUCUACUAUAGGACGAGCACACCCCCAAAAUGGCCGCCAUCCCAGAAGCAUUGAGUCUAAGAGUCUCGCUAGCCACCCCAAUGACUGUAGGCUGGGGAAUGGUCUGGCUAGUGAGACUACAUUGAGCCCGGAUAAAUCUUCAGGAAUUCUUUAUGGCUUAUCUGACGGUCCAGAUGUCCUUUAUAAUUAUUUUUAUGAAAACAGAUCAGUCUUAUCAAAAGUAGUUAAAAACUUCCAUAAAAUAUUUUUACGGCUAAUGAAUGCAUAUGCCUGCAUGCACCAAUUGUUCAAUGAAGUUUCUCCGUCUUCUUCCACAGAACUACAAAGUAAACAGCCUAUCUACUGACAGUCUGACGCCAAUCACUUCAAUUAUCCACAGAGUUUUGUGUUUAUUUUUCCUUCAUUCUCUGCAUAGUCUCAUAGCGAAGGGGCGGGGCGACAAGACUAUUCUCUUCAUUACUUUAAUCUCUUCAACUCUUCAAGUAAGGCAUUGCCACAGUGAAAUAAAAAGGUGGAUAUGAAACGGGAAGGAGUCAUGAGCAAAUGGUCAAUAAAAUGAGAUUGUGCUCCUAUCCAGCAGCAACUUAUGGAUGCAGCUUAAAGCCUGUGACUGUUUCUACAAUUCCUCCCUCCCCCAUGUGCUCCCUUUCUCUCUGUCCCUUUCUGUCUUACACUGGAGCUCCAUCAAUAAACAUACAUGUCUCCUGUAAUGAAUACAACAUUUCAAACUCCUCUCAUUAAAUUAUAUUUCUGUUAAACAUAGAUCUAAUUUUGUAAUAUUGUUUAUUUUACUUACUUUUCAAUAGUUUAGCAUGCUUCUUUUCAA
Long non-coding RNA from Amphimedon queenslandica, 834 nucleotides. RefSeq lists it as uncharacterized. The transcript has 5 exons. Lineage: Eukaryota; Metazoa; Porifera; Demospongiae; Haplosclerida; Niphatidae. The record is from RefSeq and is a predicted model, not a curated record.